This 51-nucleotide transfer RNA is filed under the name Metacrangonyx dhofarensis. Its description in RNAcentral is "tRNA-Ser". Lineage: Eukaryota; Metazoa; Arthropoda; Malacostraca; Amphipoda; Metacrangonyctidae. The record is from RNAcentral.
AAGAUAUUUAUGAAGGACUUCUAAUUCUUAUUAAGCUUAGGCUAUAUCUUA